RNAcentral lists this ribosomal RNA (433 nucleotides) under uncultured bacterium. RNAcentral describes it as "partial 16S ribosomal RNA". It matches the Rfam family "Bacterial small subunit ribosomal RNA", at positions 29 to 507 of the family's 1533-position model. The record is from RNAcentral.
AACGAACGCUGGCGGCAUGCCUAACACAUGCAAGUCGAACGAGACCUUCGGGUCUAGUGGCGUAAUUGUGCGUAACGCGUGGGAACCUGCCCUUAGGUUCGGAAUAACUUCCCGAAAGGGGUGCUAAUACCGGAUAAUGUCUUCGGACCAAAGAUUUAUCUCCUUUGAAUGGGCCCGCGUUGGAUUAGCUAGUGGUUAGGGUAAAAGCCUACCAAGGCGACGAUCUAUAGCUGUUGUGAGAGGAUGAGCAGCCACACUGGGACUGGGACACGGCCCAGACUCCUCCGGGAGGCAGCAGUGGGGAAUAGUGGACAACGGGCGAAGGCCUGAACCAGCAAUGCCGCGUGAGUGAUGAUGGUCUUAGGGUUGUAGAACUGUUUUACCUGGGAUGAUAGUGACAGUACCGGGAGAGUACGCACCGGCUAACUCCGUG